This 782-nucleotide ribosomal RNA is filed under the name uncultured archaeon. RNAcentral describes it as "bacterial SSU rRNA". It matches the Rfam family "Archaeal small subunit ribosomal RNA", at positions 1 to 784 of the family's 1478-position model. The record is from RNAcentral.
UUCUCUGGUUGAUCCUGCCAGAGGUCACUGCUAUCGGGGUUCGACUAAGCCAUGCGAGUUGUGUGUUCUUCGUGAGCACGGCAGACUGCUCAGUAACACGUGGACAAUCUGCCCUUAGGUCCGGGAUAACCCCGGGAAACUGGGGAUAAUACCGGAUAGGUCAUAGAUGCUGGAAGGCUUUAUGAUCCAAAGUUCCGGCGCCUAAGGAUGGGUCUGCGGUCUAUCAGGUUGUAGUGGGUGUAAUGUACCUACUAGCCGACGACGGAUACGGGUUGUGAGAGCAAGAGCCCGGGGAUGGAUUCUGAGACACGAAUCCAGGCCCUACGGGGCGCAGCAGGCGCGAAAACUUUACAAUGCACGAAAGUGUGAUAAGGGGACCCCGAGUGUUGGUGCCUAGCAUCAACUGUCCAACUGUCUAAAAAACAGUUAUUAGCAAGAGCCGGGUAAGACCGGUGCCAGCCGCCGCGGUAACACCGGCGGCUCGAGUGGUGACCGCUAUUAUUGGGUCUAAAGGGUUCGUAGCCGGCUUAGUAAGUUCUUUGGGAAAUCUGGCGGCUUAACCGUCAGGCUGCCGAAGGAUACUGUUAGGCUUGAGACCGGGAGGGGCUAGAGGUACUUCAGGGGUAGGGGUGAAAUCCUGUGAUCCCUGUGAGACCACCAGUGGCGAAGGCGUCUAGCUAGAACGGGUCUGACGGUGAUGAACGAAAGCUAGGGGCACGAACCGGAUUAGAUACCCGGGUAGUCCUAGCCGUAAACGAUGCGAGCUAGGUGUCACGGUAGCU